RNAcentral lists this ribosomal RNA (253 nucleotides) under uncultured bacterium. RNAcentral's name for it is "partial 16S ribosomal RNA". It matches the Rfam family "Bacterial small subunit ribosomal RNA", at positions 524 to 776 of the family's 1533-position model. The record is from RNAcentral.
UACGUAGGGGGCAAGCGUUGUCCGGAAUCAUUGGGCGUAAAGCGCGUGUAGGCGGCCCGGUAAGUCCGCUGUGAAAGUCCAGGGCUCAACUUCGAGCUGUCGGUGGAAACUUUCUGGCUAGAGUCCGGAAGAGGAGAAUGGAAUUCCUGGUGUAGCGGUGAAAUGCGCAGAUAUCAGGAAGAACACCCGUGGCGAAGGCGGUUCUCUGGGACGGUACUGACGCUGAGACGCGAAAGCGUGGGGAGCGAACAGG